UUGGAAGAAAUUAAUAGCUCUGUGCAAUGGCUACAAACAACAGUCUCCUUGGUAGUAUAUGCAGCCUGUUGCUUGUAUGGGUUGCUUAAGGGACCUUCGAGACAGUC
This 107-nucleotide small nucleolar RNA is filed under the name Propithecus coquereli (Coquerel's sifaka). RNAcentral describes it as "Small nucleolar RNA SNORA70 (ENSPCOG00000004526.1)". It matches the Rfam family "Small nucleolar RNA SNORA70". From Rfam's summary of the family: snoRNA U70 seems to be exclusive to mammals and is a member of the H/ACA class of snoRNA which contain H (ANANNA) and ACA box motifs. Lineage: Eukaryota; Metazoa; Chordata; Mammalia; Primates; Indriidae. The record is from Rfam by way of RNAcentral.